AUAAACGCAGUGACGAGAAAAGUACACUUGAAAUUUCAUUCUAACAGAGAGCCUGUAUGAUGCUGAAAAGGGCGAAUGAAAAGCAAGUCGAAAAUGGCCUCUGAGGCGGGAUACCGAGUGGAUUUUCCAUUAGGCUAUCAUGGGUGCACCCAUUAACGUGCUAGAGUAUCGGAAGCAUGUCUUCUCGUACUUGAUAAGGGAUUUCUUGUAAAGGAAAUCUAAAAAAAGGUGGUAACACGAACGUUAAAUUCGUCCUUUUA
Non-coding RNA from Carnobacterium divergens DSM 20623, 260 nucleotides. The record is from Rfam. Lineage: Bacteria; Bacillati; Bacillota; Bacilli; Lactobacillales; Carnobacteriaceae.